RNAcentral lists this ribosomal RNA (278 nucleotides) under Salmonella enterica subsp. enterica serovar Cerro. Its description in RNAcentral is "partial 23S ribosomal RNA". It matches the Rfam family "Bacterial large subunit ribosomal RNA", at positions 1483 to 1756 of the family's 2925-position model. Lineage: Bacteria; Pseudomonadati; Pseudomonadota; Gammaproteobacteria; Enterobacterales; Enterobacteriaceae. The record is from RNAcentral.
UAUGUUGGCCGGGCGACGGUUGUCCCGGUUUAAGCGUGUAGGUGUGUGUUCCAGGUAAAUCCGGUUCACUUUAACACUGAGGCGUGAUGACGAGGCACUACGGUGCUGAAGCAACAAAUGCCCUGCUUCCAGGAAAAGCCUCUAAGCAUCAGGUAACAUCAAAUCGUACCCCAAACCGACACAGGUGGUCAGGUAGAGAAUACCAAGGCGCUUGAGAGAACUCGGGUGAAGGAACUAGGCAAAAUGGUGCCGUAACUUCGGGAGAAGGCACGCUGACA